RNA transcript from Oncorhynchus masou masou (cherry salmon), 2177 nucleotides. It is a transcript of the gene named sushi, von Willebrand factor type A, EGF and pentraxin domain-containing protein 1, with no coding region annotated. Lineage: Eukaryota; Metazoa; Chordata; Actinopteri; Salmoniformes; Salmonidae. The record is from RefSeq and is a predicted model, not a curated record. The transcript has 11 exons.
CAUUGAUGAGGGCGACAAGCAACCAGCGACUCACUGUGGACUUCACUAAAAGAAAGAACCCUAAACUGUCAGGGAUGAAAUUCUUAACUUUUUUGUGCCGAUAAUAUGUGGAGUAUGGAAUGUUGGGGAGUUUUGUCUACGAUUGCUGCCGCCUGUCUGUUAGGUGUGGUGGUGAGCCAGACGACGGCUCCCACGAUGGCUCCUGCUGUGAUGAACACCACAUUCAUUGAGAAUGUGACGGCGACCACCAGAGUCAGUGAGACCACCACAGUCAGUGAGAAUGUGACCUUGACCACACCCAUGAUCCUCAGCACCACAUCUCCAGGCUGCUCUGCCCUCAACACCUCCACCUGUGAGACCUGUGUCCCAGGGUCCUACUCUGACAAUGACACCCUGCUGUGUUCCUGUUGCCAUGAGCCAGGGCUGUGUCUGUUCGCUGGGGCUUGCCUCCCAUGUUCGAGAGGGUUCUUUCAGCCUCUGGCUGGACAACAGCGAUGUCAGCCCUGCAGCCAGGGUUUUUACACCAAUUUUACCGGCAGCCUUAUGUGUCAGUCCUGCUCCCCAGGCUCCUACAGCAACAACACAGGCUCCGACUCCUGCCGAAGCUGUUCUCCAGGUUUCUAUACAUCACAACAAAAUGCCACAUCGUGCAGUCCAUGUCAACAGGGAACGUUUUGCAACUCCUCCAGUUGUGCUCUGUGUCAGAUCUGUCCUGCUGGUACAGAGUCUCUGCAGUCAGCUGCCAAGGAGUGCACGCCUUGUCGUCCAGGUAUGCACAAGGCUCCCCGUCAGAGUAUGUGUCAAAUCUGCAGCAGCGGCUUCUUCCAGAUCCGCUGGGGCCAGGAGACCUGUAACCUCUGCCCUGAAAACCACUACUGCCCAAGUCCAGAUGUGAACCCCAUCCUGUGCCCCGGUGAUGCUUUCUGUCCUGAAGGCAGCGCUGCUCCAGGUUACUGCAUGGAGACCUUCUUUCGCAAGGCAGGGGAGGAGUGUGAGCUGGCCCCCGUCACCAUUGCUCUACUUGUCAUUGGAGGAGGAGUGGCCCUACUCUUUGUCAUCCUGCUGGUGUUGCGUCGAAGGCGAGACACAGACGGAGAGCUUUCCCUCGUACGACAACCUCUGUUGCGCAAAGAGCGGCCGCAAGGUCGAUACUACGGGAUCCCAUGUGAUGCCGAGCCAGUAUACGCUGGUUGGUACAAAUGGGUCCAUGAAGGAUACGAAUGUAUUGCCAGCUGCAUACAAUGCGUUUGGAUAGUAAAAUGAAACAACUCAAUAUCGCCUCGCCAUCUGCUGGCCUUUGGGCUAAAACCGCCUUGACAACCGGUACGAUGAUUCUCUCGUUAACACAGGUGUGAGUGUUGACGAGGACAAGGCUGGAGAUAACUCUGUCAUGCUGAUUGAGUUCGAAUAACAGACUGGAAGCUUCAAAAAGAGGGUGGUGCAUGGAAUCAUUGUUCUACCUCUGUCAACCAAGGUUACCUGCAAGGAAACACGUGCCGUCAUCAUUGCUUUAACAGCACACGGCCUUCUGUCUUCAGAAUCAUAACACCACACGGCCUUCUGUCUCCAGAAUCAUAACACCACACAGCCUUCUGUCUCCAGAAUCAUAACACCACACGGCCUUCUGUCUCCAGAAUCAUAACACCACACGGCCUUCAGUCUCCAGAAUCAUAACACCACACGGCCUUCAGUCUCCAGAAUCAUAACACCACACAGCCUUCUGUCUCCAGAAUCAUAACACCACACGGCCUUCUGUCUCCAGAAUCAUAACACCACACGGCCUUCUGUCUCCAGAAUCAUAACACCACACGGCCUUCUGUCUCCAGAAUCAUAACACCACACGGCCUUCUGUCUCCAGAAUCAUAACACCACACGGCCUUCUGUCUCCAGAAUCAUAACACCACACGGCCUUCUGUCUCCAGAAUCAUAACACCACACGGCCUUCGGUCUCCAGAAUCAUAACACCACACGGCCUUCGGUCUCCAGAAUCAUAACACCACACGGCCUUCUGUCUCCAGAAUCAUAACACCACACGGCCUUCUGUCUCCAGAAUCAUAACACCACACAGCCUCCCUUCCACCACACCCACAUAGAGGGAUUUAGGUUGUGAUGGUAUAGCUGGAAAUGUUGUCUUGUCGUUGAAUCAAUUGUCUAAAUAAAAUGCUUCUUAAAAUGUA